This 253-nucleotide ribosomal RNA is filed under the name uncultured bacterium. RNAcentral describes it as "partial 16S ribosomal RNA". It matches the Rfam family "Bacterial small subunit ribosomal RNA", at positions 524 to 776 of the family's 1533-position model. The record is from RNAcentral.
UACGUAGGGGGCGAGCGUUGUCCGGAUUUAUUGGGCGUAAAGAGCGUGUAGGCGGUCAGGUAGGUCUGCUGUGAAAACUCGAGGCUCAACCUCGAGACGUCGGCGGAAACCAUCUGGCUAGAGUCCGGAAGAGGAGAGUGGAAUUCCUGGUGUAGCGGUGAAAUGCGCAGAUAUCAGGAAGAACACCCGUGGCGAAGGCGGCUCUCUGGGACGGUACUGACGCUGAGACGCGAAAGCGUGGGGAGCGAACAGG